CCUACGGGAGGCAGCAGUGAGGAAUAUUGGUCAAUGGCCGUAAGGCUGAACCAGCCAAGUCGCGUGAGGGAAGAAGGCCCUACGGGUUGUAAACUUCUUUUAUCGGGGAAUAAAGGUAUUCACGUGUGGCUCUUUGCAUGUACCCUAUGAAUAAGCAUCGGCUAACUCCGUGCCAGCAGCCGCGGUAAUACGGAGGAUGCGAGCGUUAUCCGGAUUUAUUGGGUUUAAAGGGUGCGCAGGCUGUUGGUUAAGUCAGCGGUUAAAGUUGGGGGCUCAAACCUAGAAUUGCCGUUGAAACUGGAUGACUUGAGUGUGUUAGAAGUAGGCGGAAUGCGUGGUGUAGCGGUGAAAUGCAUAGAUAUCACGCAGAACUCCGAUUGCGAAGGCAGCAUAC
Molecule: ribosomal RNA, 394 nt
Filed under: uncultured bacterium
Lineage: Bacteria
Description: partial 16S ribosomal RNA
Rfam family: Bacterial small subunit ribosomal RNA
Source: RNAcentral